Long non-coding RNA from Oncorhynchus nerka (sockeye salmon), 831 nucleotides. RefSeq lists it as uncharacterized. The record is from RefSeq and is a predicted model, not a curated record. The transcript is spliced from 3 exons. Lineage: Eukaryota; Metazoa; Chordata; Actinopteri; Salmoniformes; Salmonidae.
CGCUGACAAAAACGCGUGGCACACACAGCGACACACAAUCAUUCAUUCUCUCCAAAUGCUUUUGUCUCUAUUGCUUGCUUGUCACAAUAUCCCUCAGAUCAUCAAGUUUCCAUUCCUCCAAAAACACAGUUGCCUUUUAGGAACACUUGGGUGGGACAAAACUCACGAUUAUGUUUACAGACGAGAUAACUACUCAUUUACUGCUGAGCUUCCUGCAUGUUCCGUUUAGAGAGAAAAUGAUGGCAUAUGAAGGAGUUAUACAGUAUUUAAAUGAUCAUGAUGUUACAACCCCCUCCCAGAAGACUAUGUGGCAGGCUGUCCAGAGGAAAUGCUUUAUUAAGAUCCCGGAGACAUAGAGCCAGGGUGACUUAACUCCUACAUUACUGUCUAAAAGGCCAUAGAAUAAGGAGUUGAGGUUCAUAUAAGCCCUCUGUGGUAGAACCCUGUAUGACGUGGAAUCAGUAGAGCUCUCCAAACCCACACUUCCCACAGCCAGCUCCUACUCCAUUCAGAUGGGAUCAUUCCUAGCAGUGUCCACCAGGUGAUGCACUAAAUCAACCUAAAUCAGCAUCUGUCCAUCAGCCCGAGGUGAACGAUGACCACUGUUCAUCUACUCCUACAGGGUCACCCCCUCCCCCAGUCACCAUGACAAUACAGGAGGAGAAGGAACGUGCAUACAGCAGCAUCAUCAUCACACUCCUGUGCUGCAGCUUAAAUCCAAUCAGAUUCACAGUCAGUGAUGGGAGAUACUUAAGGAAUGGAAGGAACCUCACGAAUCAUAUAUAAGCAAUGUUAUGAAAUAAAUUCAAGGUAUAGUCCUGACAGACUAAA